RNAcentral lists this ribosomal RNA (497 nucleotides) under uncultured bacterium. Its description in RNAcentral is "partial 16S ribosomal RNA". It matches the Rfam family "Bacterial small subunit ribosomal RNA", at positions 28 to 507 of the family's 1533-position model. The record is from RNAcentral.
GAUGAACGCUGGCGGCGUGCCUAAUACAUGCAAGUCGAGCGAACGGACGAGAAGCUUGCUUCUCUGAUGUUAGCGGCGGACGGGUGAGUAACACGUGGAUAACCUACCUAUAAGACUGGGAUAACUUCGGGAAACCGGAGCUAAUACCGGAUAAUAUUUUGAACCGCAUGGUUCAAAAGUGAAAGACGGUCUUGCUGUCACUUAUAGAUGGAUCCGCGCUGCAUUAGCUAGUUGGUAAGGUAACGGCUUACCAAGGCAACGAUGCAUAGCCGACCUGAGAGGGUGAUCGGCCACACUGGAACUGAGACAUGGUCCAGACUCCUACGGGAGGCAGCAGUAGGGAAUCUUCCGCAAAGGGCGAAAGCCUGGCGGAGCAACGCCGCGUGAGUGAUGAAGGUCUUCGGAUCGUAAAACUCUGUUAUUAGGGAAGAACAUAUGUGUAAGUAACUGUGCACAUCUUGACGGUACCUAAUCAGAAAGCCACGGCUAACUACGUG